RNAcentral lists this long non-coding RNA (4221 nucleotides) under Podarcis lilfordi (Lilford's wall lizard). Lineage: Eukaryota; Metazoa; Chordata; Lepidosauria; Squamata; Lacertidae. The record is from RNAcentral.
CAAAGAGAGAAGAGGAGAGGGGGAAAGCAGGUGGCAGAAAGAGGUCGGAAAAGUGUGACCACACCCAUUUAUGGCUCUGAUCCUACUACCACCGGCUCUGGUCAUCCUCCAAAAGUAGCAUAUAGCAUCCAGCACAUUGCCCCUAGAAUGUGGCUCUUGACAGAGAGAGAAAGAGAAAGAAAAGGAGGGGGAUGAUGAUGGUGGUGGUGGUUUCAGGGAGAAGAAGGCUACAAAAGGCUACUAACCACAAUGGCUCUGCUCUGCUUUCAGGCCUGGAGGCUGUAAUGCUUCUGAGUACCAGCUGCUGGAGACCACAGGAGGGGAGAAUGCUCUUGUGCUCGCAUCCUGCUUGUGGGUUUCGCAUAGGCAUCUGUUGGCCACUGUGAGGACAGGAUGCUGGACUAGGUGGGCCUUUGGCCUGACCCAGCAGGCUACUUCUUAUGCUCUUAUGUAAAGUUCUUACAGACCAGGACUAAGCCUUGGUGAGUUGACCAUUUAGGUGUCCUAAGAGACCUCUUCACUCCUAGGAAGUGCAAUGGUCCUUUGCCCUUAUGGGAUAAUAUAGACCAGGCAUAGGCCAACUCAGGCCAACUCCCAUCAUCCCUAGCUAACAGGGCCAGUGGUCGGGAGUGAUGGGAAUUGUAGUCUCAAAACAUCUGGAGGGCUGACUUUGCCUAUGCCUGAUAUAGACCCUCUAAGUGUACUUAUUUUCCUGUGUUAGUCCCAGAUUUACAGAAGGUGUCCUGGUUUUUUAUUUGAUACCGAUAUGUCCCAUUUUUCCUUAGCACUUCCCUAUUUUCAUCAGAAAAUAGAGGGUAUGGAAUAGGGUGUCCCUAUCUUCAUUGGAGAAAUGCUGAAGGGUAUGAUAAUAACCCCCACACCAGGAGUAGCAGAAAAACUCCCCCUGCUUUUAAUAUCAACAGCAGGAGAUGGAUAGUAUAGGCAACAGCUUCUCUUGUCCAUCAACAUUUAAUGCAAGGGGAAAGGUGCCGAAGUGCUCUGUGGCCCUCAGGCCAGAGGAAUUGACACUCUACUUUGUGGCAUUGAGCAGAAAUUGAUAAGCUGUCCCUGGCCAUAAUAUUAAUGAUAAAAGUGUCGAUGCUAACAGCCAGGCUGCUUGCUUCGCCUGCCUCUGUUUGUAUGUCAUUAAGUGCACACGAGGCAUUUGAAAUGGAAACAAAUUAGAAGGUCAUAUUCCCCACCCACCCCAGGGGCCCACAGCUCCCUAGGUGUAGAUUAGGUUUCCUGGGCCCAGAUCAGAAUAUAAGAACGUAAGAAGUGCCUUGGUGGAUCAGAAUAAAGGCCUAUCUAGACCAGCAUCAUGGAAUCACGGAAUUGUGGACUUGGAAGUGAUGCCAAGGGACCUCUGGUCCAAUCUGUGCAAUAAUCACAGCUAAGGAAUCUCUGAGAGAGAGGGCUCUGCAACCUGUGCUCAAAAUCUUCCAAUGAAGGAGAGUCCACCACCUUGUUUUCAUAGUGCUCAAUGAGAUGCUUCAGUGGGAAGCCCACAAGCAGGAUUUGAGUGCGACAGUAACUCUCCCCACUUGUAAUUUCCCGUAACUGGUAUUCAGAAGCAUGCUGCCUCCAACUGGGGAGGUAGAACAUUGGCAUUGUGGCUGGUAGUCAUUGGUAGCCAUCUCCUCCAUGAAUUGGUUGAAUCCUCUUUUAAAGCCAUCCAAGGUGGUGACCAUCACUGCCUCCUUUGGGAGUGAGCUCCAUAGCUUAACUAUGUGCUGCUUGAAGAAGGACACAGGUGGCGCUGUGGUCUAAACCACUGACCCUCUUGGGCUUGCCGAUCAGAAGGUUGGCGAUUCGAAUCCCCGUGACAGAGUGAGUUCCCGUUGCUCUGCCCCAGCUCCUGCCAACCUAACAGUUUGAAAGCAGGCCAGCGUGAGUAGAUAAAUAGGUACCACGGUGGUGGGAAGGUAAAUGGUGUUUCCAUGCGCUCCGGUUUCUGUCAUAGUAUCCCAUUGCGCCAGAAGCAGUCUAGUCAUGCUGGCCACAUGACCCAGAAAGCUGUCUGUGGACAAACGCCAGCUCCCUUGGCCUGAAAGCGAGAUGCGCGCCACAACCCCAUAGUCGCCUUUGUCAGGACUUAACUGUCCAGGGAUUAUUUACCUUUACCUUUUACCUGCUUGAAGAAGGAUUGUCUUCCCUAUGUCCUGAAUCUUCCAACAUUCAGCUUCAUUGGAUGUCCACAAGUUCCAGUGUUAUGAGAGAGGGGGGAAAACUUUCCUCUUUCCACUCUCUCCAUGCUUUGCAUGCCUUUAUACAGGCCUAUCAUGCCACCUUUAAUGCACAAGUGGUCAGAGUUGAUGUCUUUUGGGAAUCCAACAACAACAUAGAAUCAUAGAAUCUUAGAACUGUAGUGUUUGAAGGGACCUUAAGAGUCAUCUAGUCCAACCCCCUGCAAUGCAGGAAUCUCAGCUAAAGCAUCCAUGACAGAUGGCGUUUAAACCUUUGCUUGAAAACCUACAAGGAAGAGCCACAGCUUCCCCACCUCUGGGCUUGAUGAACCAAUGUUCCUCUCACUUUACAUGGAAUAACUAAAGUGCCUGUGGCUUUUGAUGCUUAGAAAAUAUGUCUAAGUGGGGAGAUGUAGAAUUGAAUAAAGUUAUGCAUGGACCAUAGAACACAGAGACAUAUAUUUCACCCUCACUAAUGCAUUAGCAAUUGGGAUCCCCUAAUGAAACUGAUGGACAGUAGAUUCAGGGCAGCCAAAAAGAAGGACUUUGUCACUCAGUGCAUAAUUAUUAAUGAACGCAGUUCAUUGGCACGAUGGCCACUGGCAUAAAUGGAUUUAAAAUUCACGGAGGACAGAUCUACCAGUGGACGUCAGGCAGGAGAGCUAACAUGGAAUGUCAUGAUGUUGUACCCUUAAAUAUCUGUUUCUGGGCCUGCUUCUGGGGUUUCCAAAGGGAUCUGGCUGGGCACUGUUGGGGCCAGGAUCCUUGGACAGAUGUUGUUUGUGGCAGAUUCUACAGGGCUUUUAAACAUUGCAGCAUAAAGCAGUUGCCUGUCUGUUUGUCCAUCCAUCCAACCAACCAACCAACCAACCAACCAACCAACCAACCAACCAGCUAACCAUUCUUCCACCUGCAUGCCUAGAUGUUCACAUAAGAGCCUCCUGGAUCAGGACAGUGGCCCAUCUAGUCCAGCAUUCACAGUGGCCAACCAGAUGCCUCUUCUGGAAAACCUUUAACAGGACCCGAGCACAAGACCCCUCUCCCCGUCCUGUGGUUUCCAUCUGCCUGCCUGCCUGCCUGCCUAGCUAGCUGCUAUGGAAAGCCUUUUUCACCUCAUCCUAUGCUGCUCUUCCACACAGGGAGAAUAUUUCUCUUGCCUGAAAAUCUCAUCUCCCAGAUCAAAGAGUGCAGGGCCCUUCCUCAUGCAGCCUAUCUAAUGCCACUGGGUGUCACUAGUGGCCCACAGCCCAGUGGAAGACCCCACACCUCUUGGCUAUUUUACUGUGAUGAAGAGCUAAGUAGGGGACCUCUUAGCUCUCAGCGGUGCACAUGCCACACCUGUCUGUGACCCAGCAGGCUGCCUACUGUAGAUGGAGCUCCGUGGAAGGAUAGCACUUCCAAGAAGGCACACGGCCAAGUAGCCUUUGCCGAGCAACACGUGGGGAACAGUGUCUCCGAAGGCUGUGUUAGCAGUUCAUUCCAGAACAGCUGGAGAACUGAGAAACAAAGAAAGCAGAUCAUAUCAAUGCUCCAUUAGGGAGCCCCUGUGGUGCUCCAUCCUGGAUUUGUAGAACGUGGUGUGUUUCUCUGUAAGAUACCUCUGUGAAAUCGACUCUGUGAAGGUUCGGCUGCCUGGCUUUGGAAUUGCUCUCUCUUGGUGGGUCCAGCCCAUCCUGUCUGCGUGCACACAUUAUGCCAUCACAGCUGUCCACUCAGCCCUUGACGCCGGAGUAGAAAGAAGGGCGUGUGCGUCUGUUGCGAUGGCUCUGUAGACCCCUUGCAUCUGCCACAGAUAGAUAACCAAGCAACAGUGGCAUAGCAAGGUCAGGUGGUACCCGGUGCGGAUUAUUUUUUUUUGUCACCCCCCCCCCAGGACUUCCUGCCAAAUUUUGAGUUCCCAAAGUUGUUGAGAGCUUUUUUGGAGGGAUGCCCACAGUUGUUGAACUUUUUGGGGGGGUCCAAAGUUGUUGAGCUUUUUUUGAGGGGAUGCACACAGUUGUUGAGCUCUUUUUAAUAAAGGGCCCAGAGGAUAGGC